UUUGAGUGGAGAGAUCCUGACACUAGA
RNAcentral lists this non-coding RNA (27 nucleotides) under Mus musculus (house mouse). The record is from RNAcentral. Lineage: Eukaryota; Metazoa; Chordata; Mammalia; Rodentia; Muridae.